AGAGUUUGAUCCUGGCUCAGGACGAACGCUGGCGGCGUGCCUAAUACAUGCAAGUCGAGCGGACCGGAUCGGAGCUUGCUCUGAUUUGGUCAGCGGCGGACGGGUGAGUAACACGUGGGCAACCUGCCCGCAAGACCGGGAUAACUCCGGGAAACCGGAGCUAAUACCGGAUAACACCGAAGACCGCAUGGUCUUCGGUUGAAAGGCGGCCUUUGGGCUGUCACUUGCGGAUGGGCCCGCGGCGCAUUAGCUAGUUGGUGAGGUAACGGCUCACCAAGGCGACGAUGCGUAGCCGGCCUGAGAGGGUGACCGGCCACACUGGGACUGAGACACGGCCCAGACUCCUACGGGAGGCAGCAGUAGGGAAUCUUCCGCAAUGGGCGAAAGCCUGACGGAGCGACGCCGCGUGAGCGAAGAAGGCCUUCGGGUUGUAAAGCUCUGUUGUGAGGGGCGAAGGAGCGCCGUUCGAAGAGGGCGGCGCGGUGACGGUACCUCACGAGAAAGCCCCGGCUAACUACGUGCCAGCAGCCGCGGU
Molecule: ribosomal RNA, 535 nt
Filed under: uncultured bacterium
Lineage: Bacteria
Description: bacterial SSU rRNA
Rfam family: Bacterial small subunit ribosomal RNA
Source: RNAcentral